AGUGAACGCUGGCGGUAGGCCUAACACAUGCAAGUCGAACGGCAGCACAGGAGAGCUUGCUCUCUGGGUGGCGAGUGGCGGACGGGUGAGGAAUACAUCGGAAUCUACUUUUUCGUGGGGGGAUAACGUAGGGAAACUUACGCUAAUACCGCAUACGACCUACGGGUGAAAGCAGGGGACCUUCGGGCCUUGCGCGAUUGAAUGAGCCGAUGUCGGAUUAGCUAGUUGGCGGGGUAAAGGCCCACCAAGGCGACGAUCCGUAGCUGGUCUGUGAGGAUGAUCAGCCACACUGGAGCUGAGACACGGUCCAGACUCCUACGGGAGGCAGCAGUGGGGAAUAUUGGACAAUGGGCGCAAGCCUGAGCCAGCCAUACCGCGUGGGUGAAGAAGGCCUUCGGGUUGUAAAGCCCUUUUGUUGGGAAAGAAAUCCAGCUGGCUAAUACCCGGUUGGGAUGACGGUACCCAAAGAAUAAGCACCGGCUAACUUCGUGCCAGCCGCCGCAGUAA
Molecule: ribosomal RNA, 507 nt
Filed under: uncultured bacterium
Lineage: Bacteria
Description: partial 16S ribosomal RNA
Rfam family: Bacterial small subunit ribosomal RNA
Source: RNAcentral